RNAcentral lists this ribosomal RNA (253 nucleotides) under uncultured bacterium. Its description in RNAcentral is "partial 16S ribosomal RNA". It matches the Rfam family "Bacterial small subunit ribosomal RNA", at positions 524 to 776 of the family's 1533-position model. The record is from RNAcentral.
UACGUAGGGACCGAGCGUUGUCCGGAAUCAUUGGGCGUAAAGAGCGUGUAGGCGGCCACUUAAGUCCUGCGUGAAAUCCUGCGGCUCAACCGCAGGCGGUCGUGGGAAACUGGGUGGCUAGAGUGCGGGAGAGGAGAGUGGAAUUCCUGGUGUAGCGGUGGAAUGCGCAGAUAUCAGGAAGAACACCCGUGGCGAAGGCGGCUCUCUGGAACGCAACUGACGCUGAGACGCGAAAGCGCGGGGAGCGAACGGG